AAAAAAACCCAAGUUGAGGGAAAUAUCAUGGAUCAAUCCCUCUUUGAGGAAAAGACCCAUGUAAAGCUCUUGUCCAAACUGGGACAUUUCCUUUCGUCAACCCAUUAUAUAUGAAAUGUGUGGAAUUGAACUGGCUCAG
Long non-coding RNA from Sphaerodactylus townsendi, 139 nucleotides. RefSeq lists it as uncharacterized. NCBI's taxonomy places the organism in Eukaryota, Metazoa, Chordata, Lepidosauria, Squamata, Sphaerodactylidae. The transcript is spliced from 4 exons. The record is from RefSeq and is a predicted model, not a curated record.